ACCUUUGUUUCUUGUUUUAGAAGGAACACUAUAAGCCAUAAAGGCAAUCCCAUAGUCAUAAUCUCUCUAGUAGGCUCUGUAGUUUUCAAAGUUUGAAAUUUACUUAACUUUUUUUUGCAUGCUUGUAUUUGAAAACAUGAAGGAGAUACCAGACUGUAAUCAUCAGUGUGUCUUGGGUACAGGAGAUACCUGACUUGCCCCAGUAUUCACACUGGGCUUGUAAAAGUACCUGUGAUUAAAAUACUUAUAAGCCUUUUUGAAGAAAUAAUGUUGUCUAACUAUAUAGUAGGGGACGCUAAGUGAGAUAAACACUGAGUCUCAUAGAGCGAUUGUAUCAAGAGGAGAUUUUCUGUGAAAUGAAUUUACUUGGGGGUCAAAAUGCUCACAUAUUUUAAAGAAAGCAAGUACUUGUUUGAAACAGUACAGCCCCUCUGUUGAGAUUCAUGUGGCUGGUUACAUGCAAACCAAAGGCACAACUAUGAGUUUGGGUGGAGAAAUCUCCAUUUCUUUUUUCCUUCACUGGUCUUUAAAAAUUAUGUUUUUCUAGUGGCUAGAAGGACAAGUCAGAAAUAGUUAAAUUCUGGCUUGGAAACUCAUGAGAAUUAAUGAUCUGUAGACCAAUUUUUUAUCCUAAAACGUCAUGCUUGAUCCCCAACUUCUUAUGGGACUGCUCUUCAGGGCGAUUUCUUGUUUUUCUUUCUUCAGUGUGUACAUGUGCCCUGAGGCUGUUUGUAAUGGGAGAAUUUCAUAAAAUUCAUAAAUUUAAAACACCCCACACAUCCAAAAUUCUUCCUGAAUGUGUCAUUUUCAAGUUAUUUUCACCAAAUCACAUAAAAUAAAGCAGCACUAUGGUCACCUCUUUUUAAUAUUAUCCCUUAUAUUUAAUUUUAUUGGUCUUUCCUCAUAUACUAGGUACCAUCAUGAAUAAAGCAAAUUACAUUGACCACCUGGGUUUAAAUGGCCAGCUUCCAUCUUUUGGUGUUAUUUCUUUGAAAUAAAAUGUAUCUCACAUUUAAUUUGGGAGUAAGAAAACAUAACAUAAAGAAAUAAUGCAAACUUCAAUGCCAUGGGGGGUGUGGCUUACAUGUGUGCCUUAAAACGUGUUUAUAUAUAAGAGGAAUUAACUUGCUUUGUGUAUAAAAGAGCUAUAGUUCUUCAAAGAGCGGGCAUCUGAUCCCAGAACUGAGUUCACUGAGAUUAAAUUGUGCUCUGGGAAUUGAAGGUGUCCUCAGACCCUGGAAAUCCAAAAUGCAAAUGAAGAAGAAAUCAGGAGGUGUAAACACUGAAGGGAAUGAAUGUUUUCUGAAAUCCAGGCAGAAGGUACAACUGCUUCUAAGUCUCUGGAAGGUUCCAGUGUCCCAGGAGUUCCACAUGCACUCUAAGAUGAUUAUACCACUUUGCUACCAGCUUGCAGUAUUUUCAGUGCUGCAGAAAAGAGUUGCUGCACGAUGAGGAUUUCUGGCGAUGAGAAGCAGAGCUCAUCACUGGCAGGUUAGAUUCUGAAUCAUGGCCUACUAACUAAACCCCGGAGUGCCACACCUUGGAAACACAGAAGACAGAAGUCUCAGUGCGUCAUUUUUCUAGUUGCUUUCAAGGUAUCAUUAAGUGCUGCCUAAGAGUACCCUUCUAGUGCAAAAUGUGUUGUUCAGGAUUCUGUCCAGAUGCUGUUGGGCUGCUUCAAGGAGACUUCAAAUGGUCCUACUAGUGAGCCACCUUAUCGACCUUCACUCUGACAUUUGGCUUGGCUGCGUUUGAAGUGGUCCCAUGAGUGAGUCAUCUUACCGACCUUCACUUUGCCAUUUGGCUCGACUGCAUAUCAGAUGUUGUUGAAACCAAAACUAGUGGAUCCCUCUUCUUUCCAGGGAAGACUACAUUUUAGAAAUCUCCACAAUUACAACUUUAAACUGAAGCCAGAAAAUACAUUUUUUUGAAACUAAUCAGUCAGCAGAUCACCUGUCAUCCAACUGUGUGCCAUAUACAUAUAAUUUCAAGAAACAUUGGCCAUCAAGUACUUAAAAUUUUAGGGAUUUGGGCAACACCCAAUGCAGAACAGAUGAAUUUCAUGGUUUCUUUAUGCAUUUGCACAAAUUAAAAUAUAAGUCUUCACUUGGUUCGUUUGAACCCCUUUCUUCAAUUAGCUCUGUAUGCAGAGAAGGCCAGACAGCAGUUUUCAGAGAGCAAUCAAGAUUCUUCUGCAUGUUGUUACCUCUGUGUGUGAACGCCACUCUGACAGGGCAAAUUCUUGGAUUAAAAGUUGAUUGUACUCUA
Molecule: non-coding RNA, 2268 nt
Organism: Cricetulus griseus (Chinese hamster)
Lineage: Eukaryota; Metazoa; Chordata; Mammalia; Rodentia; Cricetidae
Source: RefSeq, a predicted model, not a curated record